Long non-coding RNA from Schistocerca cancellata (South American locust), 643 nucleotides. RefSeq lists it as uncharacterized. The record is from RefSeq and is a predicted model, not a curated record. Lineage: Eukaryota; Metazoa; Arthropoda; Insecta; Orthoptera; Acrididae. The transcript has 3 exons.
AGUUACCGCUACUGAGCAUGUUAACAAAUUUAUCAUAUUUUGCAACACACUUGAUUUCAUUGUGUAUUGAAACUGCAGGCCCUCCUGGUUAUUGUACGCGAUCUAGAACUCGAACAUUGAGCAAUACGUAUUCUUCGGGAGACUACUCCGUUUUAGAAAUAAUACGUCAAUUAAUGAACGGCAGUUCAGAAACUGAGAUCUGUUGUAGAUUUAAAAUAAGAAAACGGUCCAGAUAAGCGUUUUAACAACCAAGUAUAAAUUUCCGCAAUUUUUGGAGUGUUGUAGUAGAUACAACGGAGUGGAAUGUACAUUAAGCUUUUUAAGUAUUUUCCAUAUAAUUGUCUUCGUCAAGGAAUCCAAUGGAAUGAAGUUUUAUCCUUGCUAAUUUCCAGGUAUAAGUAUCAGCGCAAAACUCAUCUAAUACUAUCAGCCUAGCGACGCCGAUAACUUCGGGUUCGACACGAAUGUCAACUACAUUACAUUAGCAGUGCCCCACAGAGUGGCCACUGGUGAUGUAAAAGGAAGUGAUGGGGUGUUUAUUCGACUAUUUGGGCAAUUCCAUAGUUACGGGUGUUACAUGUACACACCUUAAAAUCAGGAAAAAUAAUUACUUCUUCACUCUUUCCCUUGCUGGUACUGGUGC